GUGUCCUUCGAAGACUCUGGAUUUUUAUGGAAGCUUUGUUUUCCUGUUACAAAGCUCUUUGCAAAGUUUCAGAAUUUUUGAAGCAAAUUUGAGCGUUCAAACAAUUUUGAUUGUUUGAAUUCAAAAGGAAACAAUAAAGGAAAAAAGAAAAGGGAAAAGAAAGUAAAAAACCCUAACUUACCUUGUGGGCCAAAACCAGCCCAGCUCGGCCAGAAGCCCAGCUUCCUUCUCCCUGUCUUUUCUGUGUUCCACUGACGGGUGAACCCCACACGUCAGGCCAGUCAUCUUCAACCUCAAGCAGCUGCGUGUCGAGCACCCUGUGUGCGUCUUGUGUGAAGGCUGAAUAUCUGAAAUCUUUAGGCACCAUUUAGCCUUUGUCGUUUUCCUGAGUUGGAAUGGGAUGGAGUUCUAAUGAAUUUCAUCAUUGUGCUUUCUGUACUCAGCAGGGGAACCCAUCUAGUUGGGUAAUUGUGAGUGAUUAUUCAAGAUGAUGUAUCUCCUGUCUGUCCGAAAGAUGAUCUAGCUAGUUAUGACUGAUCUUUAUCUUUUGGAUAGUCACUCUUCAUAGCUUUUCCUUAAGGUCAUUGUUGAUCUUGGAAGUUCGUUCACCUCUAGUUGUUGGAAAGUGUUCGAGAAGCUAUUGGAACUCGUUUUCCUUUUAGCACGGUUUGUCAUUCCCCGAACUAGCGAUCAAUUUGUAAGAGUGAAGGUUUCUGUUUGACAUGCUUCGGAUCUGUGUUAUAUCUUUCGGUGCCAUGUGGGAAAGUGCCUCCCAUUCGCCGGAUCAUUCUAUAACAACAGUUUUUAAUCCAUCCCGAGCAAGUCACUUUUGUGGUGUUCUCCGCGUGAGAAAGUGUCGAACGUCGCUGAAUCGAUCAGGGACUGGAGAAAGAUGUUUCUUUCGACCAAUCAUGAUCGAUGAAGAGGAGAUGAAGAUUCGCAUCUUUCAAGAACGUCUCGAGAACAACUGAUUCUCACUAGGAAUGUUUUGUUAAGCUUUGACCUGGCGAGAUAAGCAUAUCUGCGGGUCAUCUUCCUCCCAAGAUGUACAUCUCUAUGGUAUCAAAGGCAUUGUGGUUUCUCGCUUCAACAAUCUAUUUCGCAAUCUAUUUGAAGCGUGGAUCAUCUGUCUACCUUUUGGAACUCCGUAUAUCAUCUGUAUUCAACCUCGGUGUUGUGUUUUCUAUAUCUCAGCUCAAGACAUGUUUCUGUCCUCCGUUCGAAGAAUUGAUCAUUAGAUGCUUGAUCUUCACGAAGAUCUACUCUUGUGUGAGUCUCUGGUCCGUGUCUUCAAUGAAGUCAACGGACAACUUGGAGGACUAACACCAAACCUUUGAAGAUCUAAUGGUCUAACACCUUCAAGGAAGAGUCAACGUGGGAUCGUGAAGAUCUUCUUCUAUGGCGUAUCCCUGUUCCCUUUUCUCUUGACCUUAACAAAUCUCGGGGUCGAAAUUUUCGUAAGGGGGGUAGAUUUGUAACAUCUCCAAUUUAACCACCAGUUAACAGGAGUUGUAUUGUGCAUCAUGAGCAUGGCAUCGCAUCAUGCUGAAACCUGAAAAUGAGGGGUAUUUAAAACCUCGGUUUAAAACGCUUGAAAUCAACUCCACACUUGCAACUCAAGAUGAGUGUCCUUCAAAGACUCUGGAUUUUUAUGGAAGCUUUUUUUUCCUGUUACAAAGCUCUCUGCAAAGUUUCAGAAUUUUUGAAGCAAAUUUGAGCAAAAUUGUUUGAAUUCAAAAGGAAACUGUAAAGGAAAACGAGAUGGGAAAAGAAAGGAAAAACCCUAACUUACCUUGUGGGCCAAAACCAGCCCAGCUCGGCCAGAAGCCCAGCUUCCUUCUCCCUGUCUUUUCUGUGUUCCACUGACGGGUGAACCCCACACGUCAGGCCAGUCAUCUUCAACCUCAAGCAGCUGC
This 1916-nucleotide long non-coding RNA is filed under the name Brachypodium distachyon (stiff brome). RNAcentral describes it as "long non-coding RNA (BDIS_LNC003078)". The record is from RNAcentral. Lineage: Eukaryota; Viridiplantae; Streptophyta; Magnoliopsida; Poales; Poaceae.